RNAcentral lists this ribosomal RNA (915 nucleotides) under uncultured marine bacterium. RNAcentral describes it as "bacterial SSU rRNA". It matches the Rfam family "Bacterial small subunit ribosomal RNA", at positions 8 to 916 of the family's 1533-position model. The record is from RNAcentral.
AGAGUUUGAUCCUGGCUCAGGAUGAACGCUAGCGGCAGGCCUAACACAUGCAAGUCGAGGGGCAGCGCGAAGAUAGUUUACUAUUUUGGCGGCGACCGGCGCACGGGUGAGUAACGCGUAUGCAACCUACCUUAUACAGGAGUAUAGCCCGAAGAAAUUCGGAUUAAUCCUCCAUAGUAUUCUUUAAUGGCAUCAUUUGAAGAAUUAAAGCUUCGGCGGUAUAAGAUGGGCAUGCGUCCUAUUAGCUAGAUGGUAAGGUAACGGCUUACCAUGGCUACGAUAGGUAGGGGGCCUGAGAGGGUGAUCCCCCACACUGGUACUGAGACACGGACCAGACUCCUACGGGAGGCAGCAGUGAGGAAUAUUGGUCAAUGGGCGCAAGCCUGAACCAGCCAUGCCGCGUGCAGGAAGAAUGCCCUAUGGGUUGUAAACUGCUUUUAUUUAGGAAUAAACCCCUUUACGUGUAGAGGGCUGAAUGUACUAAACGAAUAAGCACCGGCUAACUCCGAGCCAGCAGCCGCGGUAAUACGGAGGGUGCAAGCGUUAUCCGGAAUCAUUGGGUUUAAAGGGUCCGCAGGCGGAUGUAUAAGUCAGUGGUGAAAUCCUGCAGCUUAACUGCAGAACUGCCAUUGAUACUGUACAUCUUGAAUUCGGUCGAAGUGGGCGGAAUGUGUAGUGUAGCGGUGAAAUGCAUAGAUAUUACACAGAACACCGAUAGCGAAGGCAGCUCACUAGGCCUGGAUUGACGCUCAGGGACGAAAGCGUGGGGAUCAAACAGGAUUAGAUACCCUGGUAGUCCACGCUGUAAACGAUGAUUACUCGUUUUCGGCGAUAUACGGUCGGAGACUAAGCGAAAGUGAUAAGUAACCCACCUGGGGAGUACGUUCGCAGAAUGAAACUCAAAGGAAUUGACGG